GGCAGCGUGGUGCACUGGUUUGAGUGUUGGACUUCGACUCUGGAGACCAGGCUUCGAUUCCCAGCUCGGCCA
Non-coding RNA from Phrynosoma platyrhinos (Desert horned lizard), 72 nucleotides. The record is from the annotation of a GenBank genome assembly. Lineage: Eukaryota; Metazoa; Chordata; Lepidosauria; Squamata; Phrynosomatidae.